AAUCAACGCUGGCGGCGUGCCUAACACAUGCAAGUCGCACGAGAAAGUGGAGCAAUCCAUGAGUAAAGUGGCGUACGGGUGAGUAACACGUGAAUCAUCUACCUCCGAGUGGGAAUAACCUAGAGAAUCUGGGCUAAUACCGCAUAACACUUACGAGUCAAAGCAGCAAUGCGCUUGGAGAGGAGCUCGCGGCAGAUUAGUUAGUUGGCAGGGUAAUGGCCUACCAAGACGAUGAUCUGUAUCCGGCCUGAGAGGGCGCACGGACACACUGGAACUGAAACACGGUCCAGACUCCUACGGGAGGCAGCAGUGGGGAA
RNAcentral lists this ribosomal RNA (317 nucleotides) under uncultured bacterium. RNAcentral describes it as "bacterial SSU rRNA". It matches the Rfam family "Bacterial small subunit ribosomal RNA", at positions 32 to 361 of the family's 1533-position model. The record is from RNAcentral.